Molecule: ribosomal RNA, 504 nt
Filed under: uncultured bacterium
Lineage: Bacteria
Description: partial 16S ribosomal RNA
Rfam family: Bacterial small subunit ribosomal RNA
Source: RNAcentral
AUUGAACGCUGGCGGCAGGCCUAACACAUGCAAGUCGAACGGUAGCACAGAGAGCUUGCUCUCGGGUGACGAGUGGCGGACGGGUGAGUAACGUCUGGGAAACUGCCCGAUGGAGGGGGAUAACUACUGGAAACGGUAGCUAAUACCGCAUAACGUCGCAAGACCAAAGUGGGGGACCUUCGGGCCUCACACCACCGGAUGUGCCCAGAUGGGAUUAGCAAGUAGGUGGGGUAAUGGCUCACCUAGGCGACGAUCCCUAGCUGGUCUGAGAGGAUGACCAGCCACACUGGAACUGAGACACGGUCCAGACUCCUACGGGAGGCAGCAGUGGGGAAUAUUGGACAAUGGGCGCAAGCCUGAUGCAGCCAUGCCGCGUGUAUGAAGAAGGCCUUCGGGUUGUAAAGUACUUUCAGCGGGGAGGAAGGCGGUGAGGUUAAUAACCUCGCCGAUUGACGUUACCCGCAGAAGAAGCACCGGCUAACUCCGUGCCAGCCGCCGCAGUAA